This 119-nucleotide ribosomal RNA is filed under the name Saimiri boliviensis boliviensis (Bolivian squirrel monkey). The record is from RNAcentral. Lineage: Eukaryota; Metazoa; Chordata; Mammalia; Primates; Cebidae.
AUCUACAGCUAUACCACCCUGAAUGUGCCCAACCUCAUCUGAUCUUGGAAGCUAAGCAGGUUUGAGUCUGGUUAGUUCUUGGAUGGGAGAUCACCUGGGAAUACCAUGUGCUAUAGGCU